AACUUUGGCCCCGGACUCUGCCCCUCGACCCCAGCACAGAAUCGCCCUGGGUCCUACUACAGAAUCAAUCUUUGAACACUGCCUCCACGUCGCCGGCUCAAUCUGGGCCAGAACCCAGACUUCCACCGCAGCCCCGCAAUCUGCAGACCUCAGUGGCAGCGCAGGUGGCAGACCUUCCUCCUUUGCCUGUGAGUCAUGGCAGCUCCCAUGAAUGGCCAAGUGUGUGUGGUGACUGGUGCCUCCAGGGGUAUUGGCCGUGGCAUUGCCUUGCAGCUCUGCAAAGCAGGUGCCACAGUUUACAUCACUGGCCGCCAUCUGGACACCCUUCGCGUUGUUGCUCAGGAGGCACAAUCCCUCGGGGGCCGAUGUGUGCCUGUGGUGUGCGAUUCAAGCCAGGAGAGUGAAGUGCGAAGCCUGUUUGAGCAAGUGGAUCGGGAACAGCAAGGGCGUCUAGAUGUGCUGGUCAACAACGCUUAUGCAGGGGUCCAGGUAGCCUUUGAACUUUGUUCCCAACUCCACAUUUCUGACCUCCCCCUCAGAUCCCUGCAUCUUCAUCCCCACUCAU
This 565-nucleotide small RNA is filed under the name Pongo abelii (Sumatran orangutan). RNAcentral's name for it is "retained intron". Lineage: Eukaryota; Metazoa; Chordata; Mammalia; Primates; Hominidae. The record is from RNAcentral.